RNAcentral lists this small RNA (504 nucleotides) under Histoplasma capsulatum. RNAcentral describes it as "hypothetical RNA". RNAcentral also lists the same sequence under 1 other name. Lineage: Eukaryota; Fungi; Ascomycota; Eurotiomycetes; Onygenales; Ajellomycetaceae. The record is from RNAcentral.
CAGAAAAGGAGAACACAGGAUCUAAGAAUCAUCGCCACCGACGAGAGAGAAUGUAGUAUGUAAGUUAACACGAAGUUUGAAUAGAUAUAGCGCCGUUCUGGGGUUCAAUUGUGCGAGUACUAGUACGUUUGUACAGACUACAGAGAGAAAACGUGCAUUCGAAAUCUUGCAGAUUAAAAUGUAAAUGACUAUCUCAUCAACUUUCGAGAAAGAUCAUGUUUCAUUAUUUGGAACUACACUAAUAAUUUUACAGAGUACAUACAGCUUGUUUUUAUCAUUAGUUAGUAGUUGAAAGUUUUAAAAAUUUCUUCGUUAAUAUUCAAAAUGUUGUACGUAUAUUUAAAUUAUUUGAACUUCUCAAUGCUUCUUUUUCCUUACAUUGAAAUUCAUUCUUAAACCUGCUCAAGAUAAGGACUUAGAUCCCUACACACGCUAUAGUAGAAACUUCAAUGAUAAGCAUCGUAUAAACCAGUUAACAAGUUUCCAGCCCUAGCUAAAAAAAGA